Molecule: unclassified non-coding RNA, 991 nt
Filed under: Hevea brasiliensis (rubber tree)
Lineage: Eukaryota; Viridiplantae; Streptophyta; Magnoliopsida; Malpighiales; Euphorbiaceae
Source: RNAcentral
AUUUAUAUGCAGGUAUUAUUAUCACAGUAGCCAACAAGCUAAUGUGGAACAUACAUUUGUAGUCAUAAUUUUAUGAUUUUGUGACUUAUAACAACCAGCAAAUUUGCUAUAUUUCAACAAAUUAGCAAUAAGCAUCAACAAGAAUUGUAAAAUAAGAUAAUGAAUGUAAAUGUACAUUCAUUAGUUUUUCUCUUCAGCAGCAUAAAGCCUUUUGAUCUCCUCCACAUCAUCGUAACUACCAAGGAAUAUUGGCGCCCUUUCGUGUAUCUUCGUAGGAACUAAGUCCAGUGCCCGCUCCUUUCCAGUAAAUGCUUGACCUCCUGCUUGUUCCAUCAGAAAUGACAUGGGAAAUACUUCAUAGAGAACCCGUAGCUUCCCAUUGGGGCUUUUCUUAUCAGCUGGGUACAAAAAGAUACCUCCGUAGAGUAAUGUACGAUGAACAUCAGCUACCAUGCUUCCGAUAUAUCUUAAAGAUUUGGGUGAAGAACCAUCCGUGGGGAACUUGCAGCUCUCCACGUAUUUAGAUGUUGGACCAUCCCAGUUCUUGGCAUUUCCUUCAUUCACUGAAUAAAUCUUUCCUUUCUUCGGAAUCUUGAUAUCUGGAUGAGUUAAGAUGAACUCGCCUAAAGAGGGGUCAAGUGUAAAACCAUUAACACCUUUUCCAGUGCUCAAGACAAGCGUACAAGAACUUCCAUACAUGCAGUAUCCAGCAGCUAACAUAUUCUUUCCAGGUUGCAAGACGUCUUCUAGGUUAGGUUCGUGGCUGUCAUUCAAGUGAUAAAUUCCAAAAAUCGUUCCAAUGGAAACACCACAGUCAAUGUUGGACGAUCCAUCCAGCGGAUCAAACACCACAGAAUACCUUCCACGGCGAGAUGGCUCGACAUAUGUUGGCUCUUCAUCUUCUUCGGAAACAAGGAUACAAGUUCUGCCACUGCUGACCAAAGCCUUGAUAAAGACUUCAUUUGAGAGCACAUCCAGUUUCUUUUGCUCU